This 867-nucleotide ribosomal RNA is filed under the name uncultured bacterium. Its description in RNAcentral is "bacterial SSU rRNA". It matches the Rfam family "Bacterial small subunit ribosomal RNA", at positions 100 to 981 of the family's 1533-position model. The record is from RNAcentral.
GAACGGGUGAGUACACGUGGGUGAUCUGCCCUGCACUUUGGGAUAAGCCUGGGAAACUGGGUCUAAUACCGAAUAGGACCACGCGCUUCAUGGUGUGUGGUGGAAAGCUUUUGCGGUGUGGGAUGGGCCCGCGGCCUAUCAGCUNGNNNGUGGGGUAAUGGCCUACCAAGGCGACGACGGGUAGCCGGCCUGAGAGGGUGACCGGCCACACUGGGACUGAGAUACGGCCCAGACUCCUACGGGAGGCAGCAGUGGGGAAUAUUGCACAAUGGGCGCAAGCCUGAUGCAGCGACGCCGCGUGAGGGAUGACGGCCUUCGGGUUGUAAACCUCUUUCAAUAGGGACGAAGCGCAAGUGACGGUACCUAUAGAAGAAGCACCGGCCAACUACGUGCCAGCAGCCGCGGUAAUACGUAGGGUGCGAGCGUUGUCCGGAAUUACUGGGCGUAGAGAGCUCGUAGGUGGUUUGUCGCGUUGUUCGUGAAAACCCACAGCUUAACUGUGGGCGUGCGGGCGAUACGGGCAGACUAGAGUACUGCAGGGGAGACUGGAAUUCCUGGUGUAGCGGUGGAAUGCGCAGAUAUCAGGAGGAACACCGGUGGCGAAGGCGGGUCUCUGGGCAGUAACUGACGCUGAGGAGCGAAAGCGUGGGGAGCGAACAGGAUUAGAUACCCUGGUAGUCCACGCUGUAAACGGUGGGUACUAGGUGUGGGUUCCUUCCUUGGGAUCCGUGCCGUAGCUAACGCAUUAAGUACCCCGCCUGGGGAGUACGGCCGCAAGGCUAAAACUCAAAGGAAUUGACGGGGGCCCGCACAAGCGGCGGAGCAUGUGGAUUAAUUCGAUGNCACGCGAAGAACCUUACCUGGGUU